RNAcentral lists this ribosomal RNA (790 nucleotides) under uncultured archaeon. RNAcentral describes it as "bacterial SSU rRNA". It matches the Rfam family "Archaeal small subunit ribosomal RNA", at positions 85 to 878 of the family's 1478-position model. The record is from RNAcentral.
ACUGCUCAGUAACACGUAGUCAACAUGCCCAAAGGACGUGGAUAACCUCGGGAAACUGAGGAUAAACCGCGAUAGGUCAUAAGUACUGGAAUGUUUUAUGGCUCAAAUCUACAUGGCCUCUGGAUUGGACUGCGGCCGAUCAGGCUGUUGGUGAGGUAAUGGCCCACCAAACCUGUUACCGGUACGGGCUCUGGGAGGAGGAGCCCGGAGAUGGGCACUGAGACAAGGGCCCAGGCCCUAUGGGGCGCAGCAGGCGCGAAACCUCUGCAAUAGGCGAAAGCUUGACAGGGUUACUCUGAGUGAUUCCCGCUAAGGGAAUCUUUUGGCAUCUCUAAAAACGAUGUAGAAUAAGGGGUGGGCAAGUCUGGUGUCAGCCGCCGCGGUAAUACCAGCACCCCGAGUGGUCGGGACGAUUAUUGGGCCUAAAGCAUCCGUAGCCGGUCUUGCAAGUCUUCCGUUAAAUCCACCUGCUUAACAGAUGGGCUGCGGAAGAUACUACAAGACUAGGAGGCGGGAGAGGCAAGCGGUACUCAGUGGGUAGGGGUAAAAUCCUCUGAUCCAUUGAAGACCACCAGUGGCGAAGGCGGCUUGCCAGAACGCGCUCGACGGUGAGGGAUGAAAGCUGGGGGAGCAAACCGGAUUAGAUACCCGGGUAGUCCCAGCUGUAAACGAUGCAGACUCGGUGAUGGGUUGGCUUCGCGCUAACCCAGUGCCGCAGGGAAGCCGUUAAGUCUGCCGCCUGGGUAGUACGGUCGCAAGACUGAAACUUAAAGGAAUUGGCGGGGGAGCA